AAGCUGAAGGUGAGUGUUGGAGGGAACCAAAUCUCCAGCUGCAUGCACAGCACAAGGUUUGGUUUCCUCCAAUGUCUCAUCUUCAACUG
Molecule: non-coding RNA, 89 nt
Organism: Zea mays
Lineage: Eukaryota; Viridiplantae; Streptophyta; Magnoliopsida; Poales; Poaceae
Source: Rfam